CCCCUAGAUGUUCUGGGCCGCACGCGCGCUACACUGAACAGUUCAACAAGUCUUAACCUUGGCCGAUAGGUCUGGGUAAUCUUUGAACGCUGUUCGUGAUUGGGAUAGACCUUUGCAAUUAUGGGUCUUCAACGAGCAAUUCCUAGUAAACGCAAGUCAUCAGCUUGCAUUGAUUACGUCCCUGCCCUUUGUACACACCGCCCGUCGCACCUACCGAUUGAAUGGUCCGGUGAAAUCUCGGGACGGCGGCUUGGUCGCUUGCGUCCGACUGCUGAAACUUGAUUAAACCAUAUCAUUUAGAGGAAGGUGAAGUCGUANCA
Molecule: ribosomal RNA, 320 nt
Filed under: uncultured eukaryote
Lineage: Eukaryota
Description: partial 18S ribosomal RNA
Rfam family: Eukaryotic small subunit ribosomal RNA
Source: RNAcentral